RNAcentral lists this ribosomal RNA (382 nucleotides) under uncultured bacterium. RNAcentral's name for it is "bacterial SSU rRNA". It matches the Rfam family "Bacterial small subunit ribosomal RNA", at positions 29 to 416 of the family's 1533-position model. The record is from RNAcentral.
AUUGAACGCUGGCGGCAUGCCUAACACAUGCAAGUCGCACGCGAAAGGGGGCAACCCCGAGUAGAGUGGCGGACGGGUGCGUAAUACGUAGGAAUCUACCUGAUAGUGGGGGACAACCCGGCGAAAGCCGGGCUAAUACCGCAUACGACCUAUGGGUGAAAGCCGGGGACCGCAAGGCCUGGCGCUAUUAGAUGAGCCUGCGUCGGAUUAGCUAGUUGGUGAGGUAAAGGCUACCAAGGCGACGAUCCGUAGCUGGUCUGAGAGGACGACCAGCCACACUGGGACUGAGACACGGCCCAGACUCCUACGGGAGGCAGCAGUGGGGAAUAUUGGACAAUGGGGGCAACCCUGAUCCAGCAAUGCCGCGUGUGUGAAGAAGGCC